This is a long non-coding RNA of Bos grunniens (domestic yak), 1197 nucleotides long. NCBI's taxonomy places the organism in Eukaryota, Metazoa, Chordata, Mammalia, Artiodactyla, Bovidae. The record is from Ensembl.
CAGAGGGACUUCCCUGGUUGUCCAGUGGUUAACAAUCUACCUUCCAGUGCAGGGGACACAGGUUCGACCCUGAUUAGGGAACUAAGAUCCUACAUGUCAUGUGCAACUAAGACCCAACACAGCCAAAUAAAUAAAUAAUUUUUUUAAAAAUUCCAGAAACCACUCCCACCUCUAGCCUCAGAUACUUUGCCUUUGAGUCCCACAAAGGCAGAAUGGGGUGCCCCAAGCCUGAGCUGAGGAGAGCUAGAGGUUGAAGGUGUAACCCUGGCCCCACCGGGCACGAUGUGCAGUGCAGCUGUGCAAUGAGGCUCCUGGUUUCCCUUGCUCUUACUUUGGAAUCUGAGCUGGAGAACUUGGAUGUGAUGCCAUCUACUCAAGCCACGAGGUGCCAGACCCUGUUCUUGGACACUGAGCUAUUAAAGAUGAAUACAACAGCAUCUUUGUUCUCAAGCUGACCCGCUUCAAACUCCCACUAGUUUGAGAGCUGUCUUUUUUUUUUUGCCAGAAAGCUGGGCAGGUUCUUCAGGGUCAGGAUCUCCAUGAACAGUUGUGCAGGUUGAGCACCGCACCAAAGGCCCCAACUGAAAGGCAGUGGGACUGACGUCUAGUCCAUACUCCUCUUGCUUAUUUAUGAAUCCUGAUCCAGGCUGUGGCUACCUGGAGGAAAAGGCACAAAACCACCCCACAGGCUAGCAACAGCCCUCAGGGGUCCAUGUUCCCAAGACCUGAGUCAGAGCUGAGGAGGAAGCUGGACAGCAGAACCAUGGGGAGCCUUGAAAUGCUAGCCAAAAAACCAGGAUCUCCAAACCCAGCAGCAGGGAGAGGAGAGAGCAAUUUUGUGUCAGUGAAAAAGGCUGAAGCCUUAGUCAGAAGCCAGAAAGAGCCUGGAAACCAAGACACAUGAAGUCAAAGGAGGUGGGUGAGGGGGCAGGGCGUGGGGCAAUCUACCCAGGAUGGGCAGGGAAACUGCCCAUUGGCUCUCUGCCCAAUCCUGGGCCCUCUCCUGCCCUGCUCAGUGCUUCAAGGACUGCCUUCCCAGCCCCUCCUACCCUCUGGUUGCUGGGCAGUGCUCUGCACAAACUCCAGCCCUGGCCGCAUGCCCUUCCCUUCAUCUCCACCAGCCCCACUGUUUCAGAACUCAAUCCAGGGGGCACCUGGCCGAGGGCAGCGUUUUUAGCUCACAGAAGACAUAGUUAA